RNAcentral lists this ribosomal RNA (253 nucleotides) under uncultured bacterium. Its description in RNAcentral is "partial 16S ribosomal RNA". It matches the Rfam family "Bacterial small subunit ribosomal RNA", at positions 524 to 776 of the family's 1533-position model. The record is from RNAcentral.
UACGUAGGGCGCAAGCGUUGUCCGGAAUUAUUGGGCGUAAAGAGCUCGUAGGCGGCUUGUCACGUCUGCUGUGAAAUCCCGGGGCUCAACCCCGGGCGUGCAGUGGAUACGGGCUGGCUAGAGGCAGGCAGGGGAGAACGGAAUUCCCGGUGUAGCGGUGAAAUGCGCAGAUAUCGGAAGGAACACCGGUGGCGAAGGCGGUUCUCUGGGCCUGUUCUGACGCUGAGGAGCGAAGGCGUGGGGAGCAAACAGG